GACCCAAAGGCACAGUUGGUAGUGCACCCACUAGCAUCGGGUAUGCUUGGAUGUAGAUUCAGUGGGAGACUCUCGUUCGAACCGAAGCUGGGUCA
This is a non-coding RNA of Mycena vitilis, 95 nucleotides long. The record is from the annotation of a GenBank genome assembly. Lineage: Eukaryota; Fungi; Basidiomycota; Agaricomycetes; Agaricales; Mycenaceae.